RNA transcript from Chroicocephalus ridibundus (black-headed gull), 2009 nucleotides. RefSeq lists it as uncharacterized. The record is from RefSeq and is a predicted model, not a curated record. The transcript has 2 exons. NCBI's taxonomy places the organism in Eukaryota, Metazoa, Chordata, Aves, Charadriiformes, Laridae.
GGGGUGACGGGGCUGGGGCCCUGCAGUGGCAGGGACAACCUUGGGUGGUGGGGACAGCCCCGGGCGGAGGGGACAGCCCUGGGUGACAGCCUUGGGAAGAGCGGGAAUGCAAAACCCUACGGUGGACAGAGGGAGAAGGCGUCACUGUGCAGUUACCAGAAAAUUUAAGUGGUGAAACACAAACGAGACCUGGUGACUUGUGUGAGAGCAAAGGCUGGGCUGGGGCUUGGCCGUGAGGAGCGCGGGAGGGAGGGUACAGGAUGGGCCCCAGGUACCGCUUCCUGGUGACACCCCUCCGGCGGUCCCCGUCACCCCCGAGUCACAUCCUGCUUGUGCUGGCUCAUGUCUCAUCCUGCUGCCUGCAGUUUCUCAAUCCCUUUUGCUCCUGCCAGCGUUUCCUGGCUGCCGAGGUUGCUGCGGGGCCCAUGGGGCCUGGGGGGAGCUCCCAAGGCACCGGGGAAUUUAGGAUGGGGGGCAAACUGGAGUGUCCUUGCUCGCCUAGGCACGGUCAGAGCCUGACCCUCCUCCAGCUCCUGCCAUCACUUGCUUCGUCCCCUGACUGUCGGCUGUGGGGGGCCACAGGGCUCUGGUUGUGCAUCUGCCGGUGCACAGCGAGGGCUCGCAGGUCCCCCUUGCAUCCAUCCUGCUGCCUCGAGCCCCGGCAGCCAGGGCAGAACAACAAGGUGGGAGUGAGCUGGAUGCUUAUUCCCUUUCUCUCUCAUGCCCUGAGUCCCUGCACCGAGCGAUGCCUCUGCAGGGACGCUGGCGAGAGCUGGGGCUGCAGAAAGCUGCUCCUGCGGGGCUGUGUCAGAGAGGAGCCCAGCCUGACUCUGCAGUCCCACGCUGAGCCGCGCUCAGGUCCUGCAGAGAAAACAAACACUGAGCUCCGUCCUACCCUAUUUUACAGCAGAACUGCCAUUUAAGGGAGGAUUUGGAGAGGAGACAUCUUCCUCUUUGCAAUUCCUUCUUGCCGGCGCAGCUCCCUAUCCCUGGCGUAUGCUAGACCCCUCUCUAUGGAGCAUCCCAGCAGCUAAAGGGUCAUCCUCUGGCUGCAGCUUUCCUGCGCUCUCUCUGUCCCUGCUUUGUGCCUGGUGCCCUUUCCUCCUCCCCAGCCCCAUCUCCGGAGGGACUGUGCUUACAGCUCGCCCGGCAGCAGGCUCCGGGAAAGCACACACACUUGUUGGAAGCUCGGUGUCCUCCGCGGCUGGAGUGUUACAAGCCCUGGGUGCAGGGCUUUGCUGGAGCUGGAGACCCCAACCCCGAGAUGCAGAAGCAAUGCCGGCUGUGACAGCACAUGAGGGAGCUUGGCACUGCAGUGUUGGGACCGAGGGCACCACUGCAAUCGGAUGGUGAUGGGAGAUGUGAGCCGGCUUUCCUCUUCUGACUCUUGCCCAGGGAACCCUGUGCUGGGAAACGGCAUCAUCUCCAUGGGACACCGUGGCCAGCCAAGGUAAACCACGGGGAUGAGUCCCUGGGCAGGUUUUGCCAUCCUGGUCCUUCGUAGGACUUCUACUGUCAUCUCCUCCGGUCGGCUGCAGGAGCCAGAUCUUGAGUGGGUCUGAUUUUAUCCACACAGCAACAUCAGUGCCAUGCAUCCAAGGGAGAAGUCGUCCUUGAUUUGGCAGACAUGACCAGAUCUGGACAGAAAAUGGAUUUUGUUCCAUAAAGGCAGAGAGGGGACACGGACAAACAGCUCAGCUGAGGUACUGUUGGGUUGGGCACCUCUCAAACUGCAUCCCGUGCUGGCAGAGUGUGAUGACUGUUUGGGUUUUCUACAAAAACCCUUUUGACAGAGGUGCCCCUGCUAUGAGGGGUCCAAGUGGCGCUUGCCAAGGGCAUUUGCCAUGUUUUAGACCCUAGGGCAAUGUCACCCCAUCCCAGAUGAACAAGCUGGAGCUGGGGACCUUCCCUGUUACCAGCCCGGAUCGCUAGUGAGGAAAACAUGUCCAACCCACUGCGUAUUCCCUCGCGCCUCCUUUCCAAGCAUUAAAAGUGCUAAUUAAACCUGA